This 278-nucleotide ribosomal RNA is filed under the name uncultured prokaryote. Its description in RNAcentral is "partial 16S ribosomal RNA". It matches the Rfam family "Bacterial small subunit ribosomal RNA", at positions 524 to 801 of the family's 1533-position model. The record is from RNAcentral.
UACGAAGGGUGCAAGCGUUAAUCGGAAUUACUGGGCGUAAAGCGCGCGUAGGUGGUUCGUUAAGUUAGGAGUGAAAGCCCCGGGCUCAACCUGGGAAUUGCUUCUAAAACUGGCGAGCUAGAGUAUGGUAGAGGGUGGUGGAAUUUCCUGUGUAGCGGUGAAAUGCGUAGAUAUAGGAAGGAACAUCAGUGGCGAAGGCGACCACCUGGACUGAUACUGACACUGAGGUGCGAAAGCGUGGGGAGCAAACAGGAUUAGAUACCCGGGUAGUCCCUGAG